Molecule: small RNA, 18 nt
Filed under: Arabidopsis thaliana (thale cress)
Lineage: Eukaryota; Viridiplantae; Streptophyta; Magnoliopsida; Brassicales; Brassicaceae
Description: ATSL077590
Source: RNAcentral
AAAAAGAUAAAGAAAAAU